Molecule: long non-coding RNA, 1505 nt
Filed under: Homo sapiens (human)
Lineage: Eukaryota; Metazoa; Chordata; Mammalia; Primates; Hominidae
Description: non-protein coding lnc-CCDC39-4:4
Source: RNAcentral
GUUCUGGGGUCGCCCCCACGGCGGCGCGGCGGAGCUCAGCCUCGAUCUCGCGAAACCGAGCGAGACUACGGAAGGCCGAAGGAUUGGGCUCAGCAUUGCUUGGGCUAAAGGCUGACUAGGGCUUCCAGGAAGUGAUGUAUGUGAGAAGUUUGCUUUUUAAAGUGUACGUGGGAUCGUUAUUACGUCGAAAUAGCUCGAGCUGUAACCUAGGGUAAAUAAUAAUUCCUUUUCGUAUUCAUCAAGGUGCUUCUAAGUGCCAGUGCCAGGGUAAGAACCCUAUACGAGUCUCCAAGCUUCUUCCCUCGACGUACUCUCUGCGUAAAUCAAUACCUGUGUCUCUGGCGUAACCCCAUUCAACCGGCUGCUCCGGGAAGGUUUCCAGGUGGUUUUAAGGGCAGAAGAAAGGAAGGACACGGACAUUUGUUAAGCACCUGGAGUGGUGUUCUCCAUCCAUACCCCAUUUACUGUUAGUGAUUGUGAAUUCUAAAACCAGGAUGGCUUUAAUGUCUCCACACGUGCAUAUGCCAUUCAAGUUUUACAAUAACUAAUGAACACAUGCAUUUCUUAUUUAGUUUAUCUCAAUGGUUGCUCAAAAUUUAGUGUCUGUGGGACUUACUGUAUAGUGGUAUGUACGCAAAAGUCAAUAUACUGUUCUUAUGGACAAUUCAAGUGAUUUUCAAAGGGAAUUUCAACUUAGGUCCCCCAUCCCCUUACUUACUGACUUGAGAACCUAACCACUAUGGUAGCUAUUGUACUUUUUCAUUUUAGAAAACGAGGAAACAUGCUCAGAGAGUCCCAGUAAAUUGCUCAAUGGCACACAGCUAGUAAGAGGCUAGAGUUAGGAUUCCAAACGAAGUAUUAAUUGGUCUUCUCAGGCAGAGUUGCUGGAUUGAGUAUUUUAUCAUAUGGAAGGUCUAACUAACCCUAAUUUUGAGAUCAUGUAGCUUCGUUUUAUUCCAGUAUAAAAUUUGUACCAUUUAAAUAUGUUCAGUGUAAAUAGUUCAGUAUAGUCCUCUUGAACAGAAAUAAACGGUGACAGUUAGUCUCUCCACUUCCCACCAUGUGUCUUUGAGGAAAUCAACUUGCCUUUCACUGUGUUACCACUUUUGUAUAGGAGAUCUAGCCCAGAACAUAAUCGAUACUGCCACACUGUUUUGUGGAAAACCCAGGCAAAUAGGUAAACAGUUUGAGACUUGAGAAAAUGCAACAAACAAGAAUGCAACUGUAAAAGAUAAAUUUGGGUUAGGCACGGUGGCUCACACCUGUAAUCCCAGUACUUUGGGAGGCCGAGGGUGGAUCACUUGAGGUCAGGAGUUCAGAGACCAGCUUGGCCACCAUGGCCUAACCCCGUCUCUACUAAAAAUACAAAAAUUAGCCGAGCGUGGUGGCUCAUGCCUGUAGUCCCAGCUACUCGGGAGGCUGAGGCACGAGAAUCUCUUGAACUCCGGAGGCGGGGGUUGUAAUGAACUGAGAUCGCGCCACGGCAGUCCAGCUUGGGCGCCGGA